GAUGAACGCUGGCGGCGUGCCUAAUACAUGCAAGUCGAGCGAACGGACGAGAAGCUUGCUUCUCUGAUGUUAGCGGCGGACGGGUGAGUAACACGUGGAUAACCUACCUAUAAGACUGGGAUAACUUCGGGAAACCGGAGCUAAUACCGGAUGAUAUUUUGAACCGCAUGGUUCAAAAGUGAAAGACGGUCUUGCUGUCACUUAUAGAUGGAUCCGCGCUGCAUUAGCUAGUUGGUAAGGUAACGGCUUACCAAGGCAACGAUGCAUAGCCGACCUGAGAGGGUGAUCGGCCACCCUGGAACUGAGACACGGUCCAAACUCCUACGGGAGGCAGCAGUAGGGAAUCUUCCGCAAUGGGCGAAAGCCUGACGGAGCAACGCCGCGUGAGUGAUGAAGGUCUUCGGAUCGUGAAACUCUGUUAUUAGGGAAGAACAUAUGUGUAAGUAACUGUGCACAUCCUGACGGUACCUAAUCAGAAAGCCACGGCUAACUACGUG
RNAcentral lists this ribosomal RNA (497 nucleotides) under uncultured bacterium. Its description in RNAcentral is "partial 16S ribosomal RNA". It matches the Rfam family "Bacterial small subunit ribosomal RNA", at positions 28 to 507 of the family's 1533-position model. The record is from RNAcentral.